UACGUAGGGAUCGAGCGUUGUCCGGAAUCAUUGGGCGUAAAGAGCGUGUAGGCGGCCUGUUAAGUCUUGCGUGAAAUCUCGGGGCUCAACCCCGAGCGGUCGUGAGAAACUGGCAGGCUAGAGUGCGGGAGAGGAGAGUGGAAUUCCUGGUGUAGCGGUGAAAUGCGCAGAUAUCAGGAAGAACACCCGUGGCGAAGGCGGCUCUCUGGAACGCAACUGACGCUGAGACGCGAAAGCGUGGGGAGCAAACGGG
Molecule: ribosomal RNA, 253 nt
Filed under: uncultured bacterium
Lineage: Bacteria
Description: partial 16S ribosomal RNA
Rfam family: Bacterial small subunit ribosomal RNA
Source: RNAcentral